Molecule: ribosomal RNA, 447 nt
Filed under: uncultured bacterium
Lineage: Bacteria
Description: partial 16S ribosomal RNA
Rfam family: Bacterial small subunit ribosomal RNA
Source: RNAcentral
AACGAACGCUGGCGGCAGGCUUAACACAUGCAAGUCGAACGCAUCGCAAGAUGAGUGGCAGACGGGUGAGUAACGCGUGGGAACAUACCCUUUUCUACGGAAUAGCUCUGGGAAACUGGAAUUAAUACCGUAUACGCCCUACGGGGGAAAGAUUUAUCGGGGAAGGAUUGGCCCGCGUUGGAUUAGCGAGUUGGUGGGGUAAAGGCCUACCAAGGCGACGAUCAAUCGCUGGUCUGAGAGGAUGAUCAGCCUCAUUGGGACUGAGACACGGCCCAACCUCCGACGGGAGGCGGCAGUGGGGAGUAUUGGACAAUGGGCGCAAGCCUGAUCCAGCCAUGCCGCGUGAGUGAUGAAGGCCUUAGGGUUGUAAAGCUCUUUCACCGAUGAAGAUAAUGACGGUAGUCGGAGAAGAAGCCCCGGCUAACUUCGUGCCAGCCGCCGCCGUAA